AACGAACGCUGGCGGCAGGCCUAACACAUGCAAGUCGAGCGAGGACUUCGGUUCUAGCGGCGGACGGGUGAGUAACGCGUGGGAAUGUGCCCUUCUCUACGGAAUAGCCCUGGGAAACUGGGAGUAAUACCGUAUACGCCCUAUUGGGGAAAGAUUUAUCGGAGCAGGAUCAGCCCGCGUUGGAUUAGGUAGUUGGUGGGGUAAUGGCCUACCAAGCCGAGGAUCCAUAGCUGGUUUGAGAGGAUGAUCAGCCACACUGGGACUGAGACACGGCCCAGACUCCUACGGGAGGGAGCAGUGGGGAAUCUUAGACAAGGGGGGCAACCCUGAUAUAGCCAUGCCGCGUGAGUGAUGAAGGCCUUAGGGUUGUAAAGCUCUUUCAGCUGGGAAGAUAAUGACGGUACCAGCAGAAGAAGCCCCGGCUAACUCCGUG
RNAcentral lists this ribosomal RNA (433 nucleotides) under uncultured bacterium. RNAcentral describes it as "partial 16S ribosomal RNA". It matches the Rfam family "Bacterial small subunit ribosomal RNA", at positions 29 to 507 of the family's 1533-position model. The record is from RNAcentral.